UGGUUCUCGCAUCGAUGAAGAACGCAGCGAAACGCGAUAGGUAAUGUGAAUUGCAGAAUUCCGUGAAUCAUCGAAUCUUUGAACGCACAUUGCGCCUUCUGGUAUUCCGGUAGGCAUGCCUGUCUGAGCGUCAGCAAAACCCUCAGCAAUAGCUGGUGUUGGGCGCGGAGAGAGAGACUGUUCUGCUCCCGCCUUAAAAGCUGAUGCCGCAAUCCCUUGCAGUUGAUAGAGUUGGUGUUUACAUUUCUUCUAUUAGACUGCGAGGGGGCCGCGGCCAAACCGAUAGUGUGCUCGCGCACUUUUUGAAAGUUUGACCUCAGAUCAGACAAGGAUACCCGCUGA
RNAcentral lists this unclassified non-coding RNA (342 nucleotides) under uncultured fungus. Its description in RNAcentral is "partial contains 5.8S ribosomal RNA and internal transcribed spacer 2". The stretch from base 1 to 133 matches the Rfam family "5.8S ribosomal RNA", at positions 22 to 154 of the family's 154-position model. Lineage: Eukaryota; Fungi. The record is from RNAcentral.